Molecule: transfer RNA, 71 nt
Filed under: Loxopholis percarinatum
Lineage: Eukaryota; Metazoa; Chordata; Lepidosauria; Squamata; Gymnophthalmidae
Description: tRNA-Ile
Source: RNAcentral
GGAAAUGUGCCCGACUAAUUAAGGACUACUUUGAUAGAGUAACAUAUAGGGGCCCACCCCCCUCAUUUCCU